CUAGUUUAUUUGCAAUGUCCAACCAGGCUACUCCUUCUCAAGUCUUCAGACACACAGCCCUCUCUGCUGUGAAACCCUCUCCUCACCUCCGAGACCCGCUCAUUAUUGUCUGCUGAAUUCUACUCAUUCUUCAGGGCUGACAUACAGACAACCCGCUGGGAAGCCUCCGCCAACCAUUUCUGAAAAAUUAGUCCCUCUUACCAUAGCACUUACCUACUCCCCCGCUUCUAUUCUAUUCUCUUCACCCAGCCUUUCUAGAUAGCCAAGUAUGUGCCAGUGUCCUGGACUAAGGUUGGAGCAGGUCGUCAGGAAAAGCAGCAGAGGAGGAACACCAUUUCAGUAGGAUCCUGAACGAUGACUAGAGACUCACUCGGUGAAUGAGAAAGGGCAGGACACGCCCAGGACACGCCCGGGAGGAAGCAGCAAGAGGACAGGCUUGGAGAUGGUAAUUCUUUGAAGACACGUUGCUUUUUUACUUCCUUAAGUUGAAGCCAUAGAACUUAAUUUUUUCUUGGAAGACACAAGCUCAUGGAUACCCACUGCAGCACAAGGAGGUGGCAUGGUAAAACAGAAUGACAUCAUGACGUAGGAGUCAGACAGACCAUGGGAAAAUUCUGGAACUGCC
This 625-nucleotide long non-coding RNA is filed under the name Equus caballus (horse). RNAcentral describes it as "lncRNA (ENSECAG00000047122.1)". The record is from RNAcentral. Lineage: Eukaryota; Metazoa; Chordata; Mammalia; Perissodactyla; Equidae.